UAGGGAAUCUUCCGCAAUGGACGCAAGUCUGACGGAGCAACGCCGCGUGAGUGAAGAAGGAUUUCGGUUCGUAAAACUCUGUUGUUAGAGAAGAACAGCGCAUAGAGUAACUGUUAUGCGUGUGACGGUAUCUAACCAGAAAGCCACGGCUAACUACGUGCCAGCAGCCGCGGUAAUACGUAGGUGGCAAGCGUUGUCCGGAUUUAUUGGGCGUAAAGCGAGCGCAGGCGGUCAAUUAAGUCUGAUGUGAAAGCCCCCGGCUCAACCGGGGAGGGUCAUUGGAAACUGGUUGACUUGAGUGCAGAAGAGGGGAGUGGAAUUCCAUGUGUAGCGGUGAAAUGCGUAGAUAUAUGGAGGAACACCAGUGGCGAAGGCGACUCUCUGGUCUGUAACUGACGCGGAGGCUCGAAAGCGUGGGUAGCGAACAGG
This 429-nucleotide ribosomal RNA is filed under the name Bacteroidota bacterium. Its description in RNAcentral is "Bacteroidetes bacterium partial 16S ribosomal RNA". It matches the Rfam family "Bacterial small subunit ribosomal RNA", at positions 355 to 776 of the family's 1533-position model. The record is from RNAcentral. Lineage: Bacteria; Pseudomonadati; Bacteroidota.